Molecule: ribosomal RNA, 851 nt
Filed under: uncultured bacterium
Lineage: Bacteria
Description: bacterial SSU rRNA
Rfam family: Bacterial small subunit ribosomal RNA
Source: RNAcentral
UUCGAAUGUUUGAUCCUGCUCAGGACGAACGCUGCGCGUGCUUAACACAUGCAAGUCACGGGGACCGCAAGGUAACCGGCGAACGGGUGCGUAACACGUGAGCAACCUACCCAAGUGUGGAGGAUAGCCGGUCCAACGACCGGGUAAUACCGCAUACGCUCUCCGAAGGGACAUCCCUUGGUGAGGAAACCUCCGGGGCACAUGGAGGAGCUCGCGGCCUAUCAGCUAGUUGGUGCGGUAACGGCGCACCAAGGCUAUGACGGGUAGCUGGUCUGAGAGGAUGGCCAGCCACAUUGGGACUGCGACACGGCCCAGACUCCUACGGGAGGCAGCAGUGGGGAAUAUUGCGCAAUGGACGAAAGUCUGACGCAGCGACGCCGCGUGGGGGAUGAAGCAUUUCGGUGUGUAAACCCCUGCUGCUCGGGACGAACAAGCCUUUUCGAGGGCUCUGACGGUACCGGGUGAGGAAGCACCGGCUAACUCUGUGCCAGCAGCCGCGGUAAUACAGAGGGUGCGAGCGUUGUCCGGAAUCACUGGGCGUAAAGGGCGCGUAGGCGGCCGAUCAAGUGUGUGGUGAAAGCCCGGGGCUCAACCCCGGGUCUGCCGUGCAAACUGGUUGGCUUGAGCACUGUAGAGGCAGGUGGAAUUCCGGGUGUAGCGGUGGAAUGCGUAGAGAUCCGGAAGAACACCGGUGGCGAAGGCGGCCUGCUGGGCAGUAGCUGACGCUGAGGCGCGACAGCGUGGGGAGCAAACAGGAUUAGAUACCCUGGUAGUCCACGCCGUAAACGAUGGGCACUAGGUGCUUGGGGGAGCGACCCCCUGAGUGCCGUCGCUAACGCAUAAGUGCCCGC